AGGGACAGCUACUGAUAUCAGAAGUUGUCUCAUCAACUCUGAAUAGUAAGAGUAAAAUAAUGAUAUUAUCUUAUCUAUUAGUGUCGUCCAAAUACUAGUGCCAGAAGACUCGGUAAUGCCAGAGACGCAAACGUUAGUCAUCUUUAACAGGCGUAAAGGGUUUGUAGGCUGCUUUAAAAUAUUUUUUUAAUUAUUCUUUGGUCUUUUUAAAGAAAGAUUUUAUUUUCUCUUUUUAAAGAACAAUUAUUAAAUUUGAAUUAAAGCUAGAAUCAAGAAGAGGUUAAAUUUAAAUAAUACUAGCUAUAGGAUUGAUAACUGCAAAACCUAAGUAGAAUAUUAAUGGCGAAAGCUUUUUUCUAUUACUGAUUGACGCUGAUAAACUAAGGGGAGGAAAGAAAAAAGGAUUUGAGACCCUCGUAUCCCUCUCUGUCAACGAUGAAUGGUAGUUAUUAAUUAAAAUUAAAGGCGAUGUUAACACGAAAACCAUUCCGCCUUGUGAGUACGACUGCAAAGUUGAAAACAAAAAAAUUAGUCGGUUUUGGAGUAAACGAAGUGAAGCAUGUUAUUUAAUCGAAAAAAUCCGCAAAA
Molecule: ribosomal RNA, 588 nt
Filed under: Peniophorella olivacea
Lineage: Eukaryota; Fungi; Basidiomycota; Agaricomycetes; Hymenochaetales
Description: Peniophorella sp. JD-2023b partial small subunit ribosomal RNA
Rfam family: Bacterial small subunit ribosomal RNA
Source: RNAcentral